This 692-nucleotide ribosomal RNA is filed under the name uncultured Cantharellales. RNAcentral's name for it is "eukaryotic LSU rRNA". The stretch from base 187 to 692 matches the Rfam family "Eukaryotic large subunit ribosomal RNA", at positions 1 to 485 of the family's 3401-position model. The record is from RNAcentral. Lineage: Eukaryota; Fungi; Basidiomycota; Agaricomycetes; Cantharellales.
CCUAAGUUCGGGAUUCAUGGCCUCCAUUGGUCACGCUUCCUUAGAUGCAUUAUGCGUCGCACGAGUGUUGCGCUCCUUGUUGUAAACUUCAAGGUGCUUCCUCAUGUGUCCACGCUUUUGGCUCGGAACCCUUGGUGACGAGCAGAACAGCGUUCCGUCCUUCAGGAUGGUCCGCCCUUCCUUGACUUAACCUCACGGGGGCAAGACGACCCGCUAGACUUAAGCAUAUUAAUCAGCGGAGGAAAAGAAACUAACAAGGAUUCCCCUAGUAACUGCGAGUGAAGAGGGAAGAGCUCAAUGUGUGAAUCUGAUCGGGUGUAACGCCUGGUUCGAAUUGUGCACUAUUGACAUUGGAUCAGCGUUCGGAAGCUACCGUCGGAUGUCCGGUGUAAUCCGGCACCAUAGCGGGUAACAGUCCUGUACACGACACUCAGCAUCCACGCAUAUGACCAGUGUUCAUCGAGUCGCGUAGUUUUGUAUUGCUGCGCUAAUUGGGAGGUAGAGCCCUUCUAAAGCUAAAUAUGAUGGCGUGACCGAUAGCAAACAAGUACCGUGAGGGAAAGGUGAAAAGCAACCAUGCAGAAUGGGUUGAAACAGAAGUGAAAGUGCUACCGGGAUAAGGGCUAUUGAUUGCAAGUGUGGAUUGCGUGUGCUUCAGUGCUACGCUGACCGCCGUCGUGCAUCGAUUGGGU